GUGUCAGCAGCCGCGGUAAUACAGAGACCUCAAGCAUUAUCCGGAUUUAUUGGGCGUAAAGGGUCCGCAGGCGGCACGUUAAGUCUCUCGUCAAAUCUAUGGGCUCAACCCAUAGGCUGCGGGGGAAACUGGCGAGCUAGAGGUUGGGAGAGGUGAGCGGAAUUACCGGUGUAGUAGUAAAAUGCGUUAAUAUCGGUAAGAACACCAAAGGCGAAGGCAGCUCACUGGAACACACCUGACGCUAAGGGACGAAAGCACGGGGAGCGAAGCGGAUUAGAAACCCGAGUAGUCC
RNAcentral lists this ribosomal RNA (292 nucleotides) under uncultured bacterium. RNAcentral's name for it is "partial 16S ribosomal RNA". It matches the Rfam family "Bacterial small subunit ribosomal RNA", at positions 505 to 796 of the family's 1533-position model. The record is from RNAcentral.